This 334-nucleotide long non-coding RNA is filed under the name Elaeis guineensis (African oil palm). RNAcentral's name for it is "long non-coding RNA (EGUI_LNC020722)". The record is from RNAcentral. Lineage: Eukaryota; Viridiplantae; Streptophyta; Magnoliopsida; Arecales; Arecaceae.
AAACAUAAAAUCAAGAGUGCUAUAUGGUACUCAAUAACCAUCAUUAGGAGAUGGAUGACCAUCAAAAAAAAAAUAUACUAUGCACGAAACGUAAGGUCAUUUUGUUUGAUGGCUGCCCAUCUUCUAAUGGUUUUGGUUGAGCGUUGCAUAGUACUCUAGAUGCAAACCGUGCACUACAGAGAAUCCGUGCUUUCGCAGCCUUGAGCUACUUGAGAGUAACAUAAUGUGUGCUAUUGUCGAGUUAGGAUCUGUCAAUGGUAGUGAAAAAUUUGUAACCAUUUCUGCCAAUAAGUUUACAGUAUACUUUUGUUUUCUAAAGAUAGCAACCCAAGAA